GACGAACGCUGGCGGCGUGCUUAACACAUGCAAGUCGAACGGAAAGGCCCUGCUUUUGUGGGGUGCUCGAGUGGCGAACGGGUGAGUAACACGUGAGUAACCUGCCCUUGACUUUGGGAUAACUUCAGGAAACUGGGGCUAAUACCGGAUAGGAGCUCCUGCUGCAUGGUGGGGGUUGGAAAGUUUCGGCGGUUGGGGAUGGACUCGCGGCUUAUCAGCUUGUUGGUGGGGUAGUGGCUUACCAAGGCUUUGACGGGUAGCCGGCCUGAGAGGGUGACCGGCCAGAGUGGGACUGUGAUGCGGCCCAGGCUGCUACGGGAGGAAGGAGGGGGGAAUAUGGGACAAUGGGCGGACGGCUGAGGCAGCAACGCCGCGGGCGGGAUGACGGCCUUCGGGUGGUAAGCCAGUAUAGCCUGUAACGUAAAGUGAAUGAGGGUAAUUAGUGAAGAAGCACCGGCUAACUACAU
Molecule: ribosomal RNA, 467 nt
Filed under: uncultured bacterium
Lineage: Bacteria
Description: partial 16S ribosomal RNA
Rfam family: Bacterial small subunit ribosomal RNA
Source: RNAcentral